CGGGCUGAGGCAGAGAAAGAAAAUUCAGUGCCUGAAGAAAGUAGCUGGGAGAGCAGGUUUGGAAGCGUAGCCCUUGCAGCCCAGCCGGGCUGACAUCCCUGCCUGCAUCUGCCCGGGCUGCCUGGCCGUGGGGCAGUGGGCAGGCAGAGCUGCUGCCCUGCCUGCAGCCUGCCAGAGGCAGCAGGGACAUCCCAGCCUUUCCCUCUGCCUUCCCCCCCUCCCCCCCCCCCCCCCCCCCCCCCCCAGCCUGAGAAGUUGGGAAUAAUUCACGCGGCCAAUAAAACAAGUGGCAGAGAUGGACAGUGUUACUUAAAUAAACAAGGGUCUCUUUAAAAUUCUCAUCCACUUCAGAUGUCUAAAGUAAGAUUGUGAUGAUUUUGUCACGGUUUGGUAAAUUUACCCCUUUAAGAGGCUUUCAUAAAUCCCAGAACACACCUUCAGCCAGAUUUGAAUAUAGAUUUAGGUUUUAAAACCCAGAAGCUGGGAACACCGCUUUAUCAAAGAGAAUUUCCCUUUAGCUUAGCAAUGUGUCGGAAUGGCUCUUGCAAAGAUUGGAUCUGAGAGGGGGAAAAAGGGGGAACCUUCUUUCCUGGAGCAAUCCUGCACACACUUUGCAGCUGCCUCUGCCUUCAGCCUUCUGCAGCUCGGGGAAAAGUUGCAAAAAAAAAUUAAUAAUUGUUGCAGCUGUAGGAACUUGAGGGUUUUUUUUUAAAUGAUUUUUUUUUUUUUUAACUUUCCAAUCUCUUCUGGUCCAUUUGGAAAGCGUUUCAGAGCAGGUACAGUCCCAGAGAGCCAGACUAGCUGGGGCUAACGGGGAGUGAGUGGAGAUGUGUGAUUUUCUGCCCUCUAAGAACUUUGUGCUCAGAGAACCAAAAUCUGCUUCUGGGAUGAAAAGAAACUGUAACUUCUGCUUCUCAGGGCUGUGGUCCCACUUUGAACAUCUGGACUGGUGGCCGCAGCUGCAUUCCCUGGGAGGAGAAGCCCACGUGGAGAACCAGGGGCAAAGCUGAAGGCGGGAUUGAAAUCUUCACUCCAUAUGUGCUGGUCCAGCAUCGAGGGGACGACGUGGCAGCAGCUUGUCCCAACUCUGCUCACUUUAGAAGGGAGUUUGGGGCUCUCCCAGGUCCUCCUCAUUCAUUUUGUGGACCCAAAUCGUCACUUACACAGAGGUCAGCUUGCGGGCAGCCACCCUGAGAGCUUACGAGAAUAUUUAAGCUCUGGAUGUGGGCACCUGAUCGAAGAAAUCACAUUACCACAACUUCAUGAGUUACUGUUCAUCAGCAGAGCCCCAGAAACUCACUGCUACCUCAUAACCCAAACUAGGUGUCUGCUUCAGUCCUCAGAGCUGCAACUACCUCAAAUAACAGGUAAAACCCGUGUCUGUUAUAAACCUCCCUUCUCUUGGUGAUCUACUUUAAAAUUUGGAUGGGGUAUGCAUGUACACAGCGCAAGUUGCCCAUGACCUGCUAUAACCUCGUGGCUUCCAUUUGUAUCCCCACGAGUCAGGCUGGCUAUUUCAGUCAUGGUUUUGGGGGGCAUAAACUCACUGUGGGCUGUUCAUGGAUGUUAAGGUCAGCAAUAACUAUGACAUUGGUCUGGCCUCUUACAUACUGAUGCAAUUUGGCAUUGAAAUUCCUUUCUCAAAGCCAGCAAUGCUGGUAACAAAUAUUUUUGGGGAAAAAACCCCAGCUACUCAACAUAAAGAAUCCAAUCAGUGGAGAAGUUGCUACAUCCCUUGGCCCCGGAGAUAACGCAAUCUAUUGUGGAGAGCGUUAGCCUGGAAUUCGUAACGUAAAGCCUCUAGAUUUCAGAGGCUACUAGAAAAUUACAUUUUCAUUAAUGUUUUGACUAAUUAUUCUCUUACAGCCACGUAGAAAGGUUACCUGGUCUCUCAAAUGUGGUAUGCAUCUAGUAUGCUAGCAAUUUUCCUUCCUUUUCAUUCCUCACAGGACAGAAAUUAGACAUUGUCAUUCCAUAUUAUUUGUGACAUGUUGACAUUAUAAUUUAAAAGGAUGCAGCAGUUCUGAACAGCUGGAGAGUAAUCCUGAACAAUCCUUGACAGUUUCCUUUGGAGGAUGAAUGCCCCUCCCUGGAGAACUGCACAGUCUCUUAUUUUAAACUAACAGCUAAUUUUAGACAGUUUGCCCUCUUAGAAAUGCAUGCCACAGAGACUUCUCUAUAUGGUGAACAGCAGUGACCAGAGAUAAGCACCCACACAGAAAAAGAGAGAGCUCUAAAAUAGAUUUUUUUCUCUUCUAAGAGACAUGACUUGUUUGCCGUAUUGCCUGAUGGAGCCAAAGAGAGACUCUCAUUGCUGGUGCUCUCUGAGACAGCCCUCCCUCGUGCUGUGCUGAGCUGAAAGCUUCGUGGAUGCCGCAGACACUGUGGGAUUGCGGUGGUUUACUUCUCCUCAGAGCCCUGGGGGAACUGGUUUAAGCAGAGGGGAUUUUUCCCUCCCCUCCCCACCCACCAGGUUUGGCACACUGUGCUUGAAACCUCUUGCUCCUGGAAGGGAGCAGGACGCAAUCUGCAGCAGGGUCACGCAGCACCUCUGUCUCUCAAAGGUCUUGGAUGCAACGCCGUUGAGUGAUGGGGGGGCACGAGCCAGCAAACACCUCGCGGAAGGUGGAAACCCGCUUCAUAUGGCUUGGCCUUGUGGGUUGUUGAGAGAAGGGAGAAGGCUGGGACCUGGGGCAUCUCCUCCAGACAUCUUGCCAGCAGGAGGGGAAGCUGCCGUGCCUGUCGAACAGAGCCCCGCUUCUCCUGCCCUUCUGCAGCUAUGGUCUAGCCUUGAGGACAGGUUCAAAUGCUCCCUACCAAUGAGUGCUUGUGUCUUUAGCCAGAAAUGCCUUGACUUUUUUUUCUUUCUUUCUUUUUUUUUCUUCUUUUUUUUCCCCGAAAAGUCCUGACUUCACAUCAUCAUGCUGCUGGGACAUCCCUGGCAAAGGUAUGUUGCUUGCAGAUCAGACAUCAGGCAGGUGACCCAUUUGCCAAGUCUGUGGGGUGAUUUGGGUUCAGGUUAAGGGUAGACAAAACCUGCUGAAAUUAUUAUUGUUUUAUUGUGUGUCGUGUAGUCAUCGCAAGGACAAACAAGAAGCACAAGAGAAGUGGUUCUCUCUUGUCACAGGAGCUAACACAGAAGGGGAGCUCUCCUGAAAAGCUGGUUCAUGCUCUGCAGUUCUUGUCUGUCCUGGGUACAAGAGCAAGAGCAAAGAAGGGCUGAAGGGACAAACCCUUUUGUGCCAUGGACUGAGCAAAAGCCCCCUGUGUUCAAAUAGGUGCAAGGCUGGGUCAGACCUGAUUUGUGCCCAACCACAUUUUUCACAGAUUUGCAGCAGACAUUAGUGUGGUCAAUCUGGUCACUGACAAUUGAAUACCACUUCACUGGGACCACUGAAAGGCUUCGCACUAGCUCUGAUGGGGCUUUGGUCCAGCCUUUAAUCUGUACAAGGUUUUUUUCCAUGCUGCACGUCUCCUCUGGGGAACAGUCUGUCUUUUCUGAUCAGGAACUGCAGCUGGUUGCAGAAUAAAAAUGUCUGGAGUUGGGCUAUGCUGGAUAUUGUGCCCUGUGAAGUCAAGGAGAAACUCAUCACUGGUUUCAAGGACAACAGCUUGAGGUCUCUUCUUCAGCUGUCAUUCAGGAGUUUGCCUCAUGGUUCCUACCAGUUAAAUAUUUCUAUCAAACAAGGACAGUGCUCCAAAGAGGAAAGUCUGACAGAAAAAAAAAAACCCCAAACCAAACAGAAGAGUUCCUGGUUCUCAUUUCUCUAAUUAAAAAGACCCCCCUCAACUCUAAAAGCUCAAAUCUGGGUGUAUUACUUUUCAAGAAGAGAAUACCUCCCUUGCAGAGUUUAGAGCAGCAAGCUUAAAAAUCCCGGUUUUGGACUGAGGUGAUUUUAAAAACAAUUUCACUGUAUUUAUCCUGUAGUUGGAGGAGGCAAUAAGCCAUGCAAAAGAAAACCCCGUGAAUGUAAAGAGACUGAGUGGACUGAUACAAAUCCACCUCUGCCAGAUCUGUGUUGAGAGGACUUGGUCACAAGAGUAAUGCUGUUCCUGUGAAGAAGCAUUUGCAAGCUCCAGCCCUCAGUAUAGCAUGUGGAGUAGCUGAACAGAAAAUAUAUUCUGCAAGCUUCAGAGAGACACACCCGCUGGCUGAUCUAGCACCGACAGACACACAGCUCCAGCCCCAACCAAACCACCCCAAGGUGACUGCUGUGAUGUGCUUUUAUUGUGUGCUACCAGGGAUAAAUUAGGGUAAAUCAGGUCAUUUGCAAACUAACUGCAUUUUUAGUGUGAUUGCAAAAUUAUGGGAGGUAGAUUACAAUCAUCCCAAUAUCUGCUGUUCUGUCCUUAAUUUGGUCUGAUUUUUAUUUACCUUUUCUUCUGCUUUAGUUAGGUUUUACUGGAAGAAGAAGGAAGGAGGACAUCUGAAUUGAGUAAGAUGAACUACUACUUCUUAGUGAGUAGCUACCCAGGAACCUUUAUCAGUCUCUAAAAAUAUCACCCGUGGGUUCCUGGGUUAUCUCCUCCUUCCUAAUAAAAAAUGGCCAUCAGGAGUAAUUUUUUUCCAAACGAGGAACAUCACACUAGGCUUUCUAUUUUGCACUCUAAAUAAACGGUAGCUUUUAAGUUGCCCCUCUCGUAAUUUCACAUGCUGUUCCGUGUACCAGAGCAUAAUGAAUAAAUAUCAUAAGCCACAGCGCCUGACAUGGUUGCUUUACACGACGGUCUGCUCUGCAGACAUGCCUUACCAAAAAUUCUCUCUUUGAAGUCAAGAGGAGAUCCACGUGGACAAUAGAUACCUGCUAUAUGUAUGACCCAUCAGUUGUAAAAUAGCUGUGUAAUUUCCCUAAAUUAUUCAGAUAAUUUCUCCUCAAAUAUUUCUUGGCUCUUAAGCAUUUUUUCUCAGCCCCGUGGUGUAUGAGUUACACAGACCCUAAGGGAUACUCAUUAUUCACCAUGCUCGCUCUCUUAGACUUUCCAUCUGGGUUCCCACAACCACCUCCCAGUAUGAGCUCUGGGUCACUGGAAACAUCAGUACGACUCCAGUUGGGAUCUUCACCUAAAUCUCCUCCCUUUCACCUGGCCACAGUAUAUUACAUCACAUCCAACCAACAAAAAUCCUGCAUAUCAGCAGGGCCAACAGUGGGGACCAAACUGGAUGAAGAAAGAAACAUUUUUCAGCAUUUGCGUUCAUUAUUUUAAUUGACUUCUCCUUUCAUUUGUUCCCCUUCUGUGCCCUCCGACUAUGAGUGUUCAAGCAGCUGUAGUAACCCCCAGGAAAAAAAAAAAAUAGUUGUGCUAAAUGAGAUUUUUAUGUGUGGGUGUUUAAGUAUCCGCGUGAAGCAAAUUUCUACCCUCUUCUCAUCAGAAUGGGAACGAGACCAUGUGAGUGAUGUGACCAAUUACCACCGAGCACCCCAGAGCAGCUUCUGAAUAUUCACGUCCAAUUGCUACUUUGGUGGAACAAUUGGUUUGAACGGUUUGAAAAGGCAAUGAUGUCAAAUGUGCGGCGUGAUUAAACGCAGAGAAAUUACCAGCCGUUGAGCUGAAAAAGAAGCUCUGUUUCCUUCCCAGGGUAAUUCUGCUUUCGAAUUUUGCUCUGAUAGGAGCAGGAAACACCCGAAUCUGCCAGGGCAAAGGUGCAGCUGAGUUUGGAAGGCGGCAGAGACUGGGACAUGCAUGGGAGCUUUGAUACGGUUGCAGCAAGUCAAAUGCUUCCUCUUCACCCUCAUCCUCACGCAGAACCACACUUCGACCCCAGGUAGAGCAACUCAGCGGCACAUUUUGCAAGUACACCAUGAUGCAAAUGUAAUUUGUAUCAAAGAUUUUUAGGGCCAAGUAUCUGGGACUUGAAUUGUCCGGACAACUGGCAAAGGCGACGCGUUUUUCAUCAAUAUCAGCCGCAUUUGGGAGCUCUUCUGCUUUCUGUACAGACAAGGAAUAUGUUAAACACACAGUCCUGCUGCUUGGUUCACACCUAUUUCUGUCAUCACUGAAAAUGGCCCAUACUCUUCUGAAAAAUAGACCAUUAAUUCCCCCAUCCAGCUCUGUCCUGUUUUAAAAAUGCAUAUACCAUAUGUUAUAGUUCAGUAGUAGCCUCAGUUUUAUGGCUGAGUCAUACAGAUCCAAGCGUUAGGAGAAACAGCAUUUUUUUAUUGUAGUGCACAGAGAAGUGUGUGGUUCCCAGAUGGCAGAAGGGAGCUGGGAGCACACAUGAGGAGAAAAAAGUAAUACGUCCUCCAGAAUCAGAUCUUAUGCCGAGCCCCUGUCAGAGAGAGCAGGCACAGAAACGCUGCCCAUCUCCGGCUGCUCAGGUCUGGGGCCGGCUCCGAAAACAAUUUCUUUCCCCCCGGUCCCCUUUGGGGAAAGUGAGUGUGCAUACUCUUGUUCAAAAAAAAAAAAAAGGUUUUUUUUGUAACAAGCGACUCUCACACAUUUUAUGAAUGUGCGAAAGGCUUCUUAAACAUGAUGCAGGAGCUAAGAUGAGGAAAUAGCCUGUAUAAAAUCCUCCCUGAAACUAGGGAACUUUCUUUUCCUUUCUUCUUGUUUCCUACCCAGAGAUCUGAGCUAAUUUUCCCUAUCCAUAGGCUCCCCCCACCCCCUCAAAAAAAAAAGGGGGGGGGGAGACUGUAUUCACUAAUUAUACAUCCUGAAAAGAAUUUGGUUCAGUGUAAGAUGAUCCUAGUGAUAUGCUAAUCCUUUUUUCUGCUUGGUGCAGCCUGAAGCCUGUGUCUAACAUUUUUUUCAACUGUAUGACAAUAAAAGUUGUGGCAACAAAAGAAAUAAAUGGGCAGCUAAAGAAGGUAUAGCUGAAACACAUGGCAGACCAGUUCUCUCCUCUCCUUCUGGCUGCUCUUUUGUAGGCUCUGGUUUGGUAUCCUCAAGUCAAUAGCCGAAAGCCAGCCACCUUAGCAACUUAGUAUGACACCCAAGCCCUCUCUCUUUACAUUCAUGAAUAGUCAGCAAGCAGCAGACAAAAUAGAACUAAUCUUUUUUGACAGAAUUGUUCAAUUUUAGAGGAAAGGCUUUUGAGGCACCUUCCAUACAUUUGCAGAAUAUGAGACAACAAUGGCCACCAUCACAUUUUACAAAAGGACGACCAGGGGUGUGAGCGGGCACACACGCACGCACAACGGCCGUUCCAAUAAAAUAUUGCAGCUAAGUUCAAGCGAUUGCAGGAUAUGCCUAUUGUUAGGGGGAAAGCUGGCAGGCAAGAAAAAAUAAAUAAUUUUUAAAAAAAGAAAUCUCUAUUGUUUUGUUGCUGAUUAUUAAACGUACACAUCCCCAUAAUGUGCGAUUAGGGUUAUUUGUCUUGAUUAACCAAGUUAAGAGAGCUGAUUAAUAUCCAGUCUUUAAUUUCCUGUCAUAGGCUGAUAACUUCAUCUUUUUUUUUUUUUUUUUUUUUUUGGACCAAUGAUUCUUAUUGUGAAAUGCAUUCAAUCCAGCAGAUUCUCGCCUGCAUUUAAAAGCUGGUUUUGCCAUUUCAAAAUCCUGUAACACAGCAGCCACUCACAAGUCUAGUAUGUGCAGAGAAGGACAUUCCUCCUUUUCCCUUCUCUCCCCUCCAUUUAAUGCAAGCCAUAUCUCUGUCUCCAAACACAGUCCGAGUAGAAAAGAGAAGGAAAUAAUAAUAAUAAUAAUAAUAAUAAUAAUAAUAAUAAUAAUAAUAAUAUAAAAUCUACCCAGUCUAUGGGCAAAAACAGAAGUUAGCAACAUGGUCCAUGCAGCUGCAACACUACAUUUAAAAUUCAGUUUACUCCUAGGAAGAGGGCUAAUCCUGCCCCUGUAAUUCCCUACAGCCAAAAUGUACCCCCCUCCCUGAGUGACAGUGCAAUGCAAAGACACUCGCACGCUUAUCUUCCCCAACCAGAUGGCCGACUUGGAUCAAUGCACACACGCCACGAUCAAUGGGAGCGAUAAAGAAUUAGGAAAACAGUGGUACAUGCUCCCAGAAAGCUUGUACACUGCAUAAUUAUUUUAUGAUUCUACACAUGGCUACAUGUGAUACUGGAGUCAAGAAGGAAAAGGAUAAUUAGAGAGCCAGAAAGCACCCGUACUGCACUACACACUUUGUCAGUCAGCAGUUCCCACUCGGCUCAACUCACCGCCGUUAUCUCCUCUCCUGCCCCCUUGCAAACGAAUUUAGGGAAUAUGUAAAAUAUUAGGGGGAGGCGGCUUCUGGGUUACAGAGACGGGAUACAGGAGAUUAUCGUGUCCUGUGAUACGACAGCAAAAGUUUUUGGCUGAGGGAUGGGGUGGACUACGCGAGCAUCACUCGGGGAGCGGAGCGUGGGGUGGCAUCUGCGGGGCAUAGGGGUACCCGCGAUGAGCAGGGGCUGCAUCUGAACCCGUCUAGGGCUUUGUUGGGAGAGGGACGUAUCCACGUCCAUUCAAUAAAAUAUAG
Aquila chrysaetos chrysaetos is the source of this 8407-nucleotide long non-coding RNA. RefSeq lists it as uncharacterized. The transcript is spliced from 4 exons. The record is from RefSeq and is a predicted model, not a curated record. Lineage: Eukaryota; Metazoa; Chordata; Aves; Accipitriformes; Accipitridae.